Molecule: long non-coding RNA, 340 nt
Organism: Mytilus trossulus (common blue mussel)
Lineage: Eukaryota; Metazoa; Mollusca; Bivalvia; Mytilida; Mytilidae
Exons: 4
Source: RefSeq, a predicted model, not a curated record
AAAUGAAUAACUUGUUUUACUAAAGCAACCUAUACAGAAGAUACUAUGAAGAAUCAGAUGUUGAUUGUAUUUAUGCUGUUUUUAACAAUAGAUAGUGUGUAUUCUAAUCCUCCUAAACCUUGUAUUUGUCCAGCGGUUUGGGACCCAGUUUGUUCUACAACUGGUAGAACUUUCAGUAAUUCAUGUCAUCUCGGUUGCAGCCGUGCGGUUGCAGCUUGUCAGGGGGAAUGUCCGUGUUAUUCUUAACACCAAUGACAUGAAUUGUACAGAAGACUAAGUGAGAUGGAAUAGUAUAUUUAAUAUAUUUCAAAACAUCAAAGAAUAAAACAAAAUUUGGCAU